AGAACUCAAAGGAGACUUCUUUUAAGGACUUGUGUAUCCAAAAUUAAAAGUAAAACAUAUGAUCACUCUCUCGUAUAUAACCAUUAAUAUAUUAAGACAAAGGAAAAUAUGUGUUUUAAGAUAAUUGCACUUAUAGAAAAAAAUCUAUAUAUUUGUGGUGUCAACACUGAGGUUGUGAUUUCCAAACCCUGUAAUGGAAGGACUGUUUCUGCAAUCAUAUUUUACUAUGAUGUCAGUCAGUUUGGUGGUUCAAUUUAGCCACUCAAGCUUUGACCACCAAUAAAAACUGGCCGUUACAAAGUAGCCAGUAGUGCUAAAAGUGGCAUUAAAUGCCAAAAAACAAUCAGUUAUAUAAUUCUUAAAGAGCA
RNAcentral lists this long non-coding RNA (368 nucleotides) under Mytilus galloprovincialis (Mediterranean mussel). The record is from RNAcentral. Lineage: Eukaryota; Metazoa; Mollusca; Bivalvia; Mytilida; Mytilidae.